RNAcentral lists this ribosomal RNA (301 nucleotides) under uncultured bacterium. Its description in RNAcentral is "partial 16S ribosomal RNA". It matches the Rfam family "Bacterial small subunit ribosomal RNA", at positions 509 to 809 of the family's 1533-position model. The record is from RNAcentral.
CAGUAGCCGCGGUAAUACGUAGGUGGCAAGCGUUGUCCGGAAUUACUGGGCGUAAAGCGUGCGCAGGCGGUUUUGUAAGACAGGCGUGAAAUCCCCGGGCUCAACCUGGGAAUGGCGCUUGUGACUGCAAAGCUAGAGUGCGGCAGAGGGGGAUGGAAUUCCGCGUGUAGCAGUGAAAUGCGUAGAUAUGCGGAGGAACACCGAUGGCGAAGGCAAUCCCCUGGGCCUGCACUGACGCUCAUGCACGAAAGCGUGGGGAGCAAACAGGAUUAGAUACCCCAGUAGUCCCUGUCUCUUAUAA